AACGAACGCUGGCGGCAUGCCUAACACAUGCAAGUCGAACGAAACCUUCGGGUCUAUUGGCGCACGGGUGCGUAACGCGUGGGAACCUGCCCUUAUGUUCGGCAUAACUCCCCGACAGGGGUGCUAAUACCGGAUAAUGUCUUCUGACCAAAGAUUUAUCGCCUUUGGUUGUGCCCGCGUUGGAUUAGCUAGUUGGUAGGGUAAAAGCCUACCAAGGCGACGAUCCAUAGCUGGUCAGAGAGGAUGAUCAGCCACACUGGGACUGAGACACGGCCGAGACUCCUACGGGAGGGAGCAGUGGGGAAUAGUGGACCAUGGGCGAAAGCCUGAUCCAGCAAUGCCGCGUGAGUGAUGAAGGCCGUAGGGUUGUAAAGCUCUUUUACCCGGGAUGAUAAUGACAGUACCGGGAGAAUAAGCUCCGGCUAACUCCGUG
Molecule: ribosomal RNA, 433 nt
Filed under: uncultured bacterium
Lineage: Bacteria
Description: partial 16S ribosomal RNA
Rfam family: Bacterial small subunit ribosomal RNA
Source: RNAcentral